Molecule: long non-coding RNA, 271 nt
Organism: Homo sapiens (human)
Lineage: Eukaryota; Metazoa; Chordata; Mammalia; Primates; Hominidae
Gene: NR2F1-AS1
Product: NR2F1 antisense RNA 1
Source: Ensembl
CAAGGAAACACUGACUUGAAAACUCUCCCCCAUGGUUUUGUCUGAACUGGCUGCCAUUCUGCAGCACACACCAGAUCCAAUUGCUGGAGUCGGGAACCCGAGAGGUGAGCAAGAGCAAGCACUUAGCUGAGUGAGUCAGGCGGGCCUGCGUGAAAGGAUGUAGAUACACUGCCUCUAGGACUGGGACAGAUAGCCACUGAGUACCUGCUUCAAAUCACCCUGCACGUUUUCUCUUUGGAAAGAUAAGCACUGGAGAACCAUCUCGUUACCU